This is a non-coding RNA of Pelobates cultripes (western spadefoot toad), 1476 nucleotides long. Lineage: Eukaryota; Metazoa; Chordata; Amphibia; Anura; Pelobatidae. The record is from the annotation of a GenBank genome assembly.
GGGAGAUGUAGUUCUCCAUGCAGUGGGAUGAAGGGAGAUGUAGUUCUCCAUGCAGUGGGAUGAUGGGAGAUGUAGUUCUACAUGCAGUGGGAUGAUGGGAGAUGUAGUUCUCCAUGCAGGGGAUGAUGGGAGAUGUAGUUCUCCAUGCAGUGGGUGAUGGGAGAUGUAGUUAUCUAUGCAGAGGAUGAUGGAAGAUGUAGUUCUCCAUGCAGUGGGAUGAUGGGAGAUGUAGUUAUCUAUGCAGUGGGAUGAUGGGAGAUGUAGUUAUCCAUGCAGUGGGAUGAUGGGAGAUGUAGUUCUCUUUGCAGUGGGAUGAUGGGAGAUGUAGUUCUCCAUGUAGGGGAUGAUGGGAGAUGUAGUUCUCUAUGCAGGGGAUGAUGGGAGAUGUAGUUCUCUAUGCAGGGGAUGAUGGGAGAUGUAGUUCUCCAUGCAGUGGGUGAUGGGAGAUGUAGUUAUCUAUGCAGGGGAUGAUGGAAGAUGUAGUUCUCCAUGCAGUGGGAUGAUGGGAGAUGUAGUUAUCUAUGCAGUGGGAUGAUGGGAGAUAUAGUUCCCUUUGCAGUGGGAUGAUGGGAGAUGUAGUUCUCCAUGUAGGGGGAUGAUGGGAGAUGUAGUUCUCCAUGCAGUGGGGUGAUGGGAGAUGUAGUUAUCCAUGCAGUGGGAUGAUGGGAGAUGUAGUUAUCUAUGCAGGGGAUGAUGGGAGAUGUAGUUAUCUAUGCAGGGGAUGAUGGGAGAUGUAGUUCUCUAUGUAGUGGGAUGAUGGGAGAUGUAGUUCUCCAUGCAGGGGAUGAUGGGAGAUGCAGUUAUCUAUGCAGGGGAUGAUGGGCGAUGUAGUUAUCUAUGCAGUGAGAUGAUGGGAGAAGCAGUUCUCCAUGCAGUGGGAUGAUGGGAGAUGUAGUUAUCUAUGCAGUGGGAUGAUGGGAGAAGUAGUUCUCCAUGCAGUGGGAUGAUGGGAUAUGUAGUUAUCUAUGUAGUGGGAUGAUGGGAGAUGUAGUUCUCCAUGCAGGGGAUGAUGGGAGAUGUAGUUAUCUAUGCAGGGGAUGAUGGGAGAUGUAGUUCUACAUGCAGUGGGAUGAUGAGAGAUGUAGUUCUCCAUGCAGUGGGUGAUGGGAGAUGUAGUUCUUCAUGCAGUGGGUGAUGGGAGAUGUAGUUCUUCAUGCAGGGGAUGCUGGGAGAUAUAGUUCUCCAUGCAGUGGGUGAUGGGAGACGUAGUUCUCCAUGCAUUUGGUGGUGGGAGAUGUAGUUCUCCAUGUAGUGGGAUGAAGGGAGAUGUAGUUCUCCAUGCAGUGGGAUGAUGGGAGAUGUAGUUCUACAUGCAGUGGGAUGAUGGGAGAUGUAGUUAUCUAUGCAGGGACGAUGGGAGAUGUACUUCUCCAUGCAGUGGGUGAUGGGAGAUGUAGUUCUUCAUGCGGGGGAUGAUGGGAGAUAUAGUUCUCCAUGCAGUCGGUGAUGGGAGAUGUAGUUCUCCAUGUAGUGGGA